RNAcentral lists this ribosomal RNA (2038 nucleotides) under Henneguya ogawai. RNAcentral describes it as "SSU rRNA". It matches the Rfam family "Eukaryotic small subunit ribosomal RNA". Lineage: Eukaryota; Metazoa; Cnidaria; Myxozoa; Bivalvulida; Myxobolidae. The record is from RNAcentral.
GGGCGUACGCUCUUUUCGAAGAUUAAGCCAUGCAUAUGCUAGUUCAUACAUUGUAAUGUGAGACUGUGGAAGGCUCAGUAUAUCAGUUAUAAUCUGCUCGAUUGUAAAGGUUAUUGGAUAACCGUGGGAAAUCUAGAGCUAAUACAUGUACUAUCGUGUUGAGCACACGAGAAUUGCAUUUAUUAGAACAUUACCGACCGUAGUGUGGUGAAAGUUUGCCAUGAUACGUGAUGAAUCUAGAUAACUGUGCAGAUCGUAUGGCCAUGAGUGCCGGCGACAUUUCGAUUGAAUUUCUGCCCUAUCAACUUUUGUCGGCAGUUUAGUGGACUGCCGAGGUUUUUACGGGUAACGGGGGAUCAGGGUUCGAUUCCGGAGAGGGAGCCUGAGAAACGGCUACCACAUCCAAGGAUGGCAGCAGGCGCGCAAAUUACCCAAUCCAGACAAUGGGAGGUGGUGAAGAAAAGUACCAAAUGACGGCCCAAGGUUGUCAAUUUGGAAUGGAAACAAUUUAAGAAAUUGGUUUGAGUAACAACUGGAGGGCAAGUCUGGUGCCAGCAGCCGCGGUAAUUCCAGCUCCAGUAGCGUAUCUCAAAGUUGCUGCGCUUAAAACGCUCGUAGUUGGAUCAGAGAGCAUGUAUUGGCUGGGGCUGUAGAUGUUCUACUGGGCUUUCUGUCCUUGGGACGUCUGUAGCACCGUUGCGCUAAUACGUGUUAAUUGCAUGUGAGGAUGGUAAUUGACCUUUAGUGCGUUGAUGACCGUGUCUCACAGAGUGUGCCUUGAGUAAAUCAGAGUGCUUAAAGCAAGUAUUUAUGCUUGAAUGUUGAUAGCAUGGAACGAACGAUCGUGUAUGGUGUGCAGUAAAUUGACGUUGUGACUGGUUUGCAUCGUAGCAGUUAUUGCAUGACACCGACCGCCAAUUACGGAUGUUGGUUCCGUAUUGGGGUAAUGAUUAAGAGGAGCGGUUGGGGGCAUUGGUAUUUGGCAGCGAGAGGUGAAAUUCUUGGACCUGCCAAGGACCGACAAAUGCGAAGGCAUCUGUCAAGACCGUAUCCAUUAAUCAAGAACGAAAGUGAGAGGUUCGAAGACGAUCAGAUACCGUCCUAGUUCUCACUGUAAACGAUGCCGACUCGGGAUCAGUUUGGAGCAAAUUCCACGCUCGAGGUUGGUCCCCCUGGGAAACCUAAAGUUUUUCGGUUGCGGGGGGAGUAUGGUCGCAAGGCUGAAACUUAAAGGAAUUGACGGAAGGGCACCACCAGGGGUGGAGCCUGCGGCUUAAUUUGACUCAACACGGGAAAACUUACCUGGUCCGGACAUCAAAAGGAUAAACUGACUAACAGAUCAUAAUAUUUUGAUAUGAUGAUUGGUGGUGCAUGGCCGUUCUUAGUUCGUGGAGUGAUCUGUCAGGCCAAUCCCGGUAACGAACGAGAGCACAAUCUCCAUUUGACGCGCCAAAGACACGGUGUGUAAUUGCAGUGGUGGUCGAAAGAUCACCUCGGUGAUAUGGCUCAUCGAUGGUAGUGGAGGUAAUUGUGCUUGGAAGCUGGAGGCUGCGGCAACGUGGUGCUUCAGCUGAAGGGUGCGAUAGGCCAACGCUCCCUUUGGUGUAACAAUUGGUUGAUCGUCAGAUUGACGGGUUGUAUCAUGGAGAGACAGCGGAACAUAUUCCAAAAUCCGAGGAAGUGUGGCUAUAACAGGUCUGUGAUGCCCUUAGAUGUUCAGGGCUGCACGCGCGCUACAAUGGUGGUGACAACGAGUUUCUGGAUCGAAAGAUUCGGGUAAUCUUGCAAUCACCGCCGUGAUGGGGAUCGACGUUUGUAAUUACGUCGUGAAAGAGGAAUCCCUAGUACGUGCGAUUCAUUAGAUCGCGCGGAUUUCGUCCCUGCCCUUUGUACACACCGCCCGUCGCUACUACCGAGUGAAUGGUACCAUAAUGCCUUGGGAGCGGACGUCGUUAUCGGGUUUACUCGUGAGGACGCUGCGAUCAGCGUAGAAUGGUGCAAUUUCGAGGAAGUAAAAGUCGUAACAAGGUUUCCGUAG